Molecule: non-coding RNA, 1590 nt
Organism: Paramisgurnus dabryanus
Lineage: Eukaryota; Metazoa; Chordata; Actinopteri; Cypriniformes; Cobitidae
Source: RefSeq, a predicted model, not a curated record
GCAAAAGCAAGAUUACCUGAGGAAAAAAGAAAAAAAGAUUAGCAUUGUACAAAACCAUACAUAAUGUCUUAUUAUACUAAACCAUUACAAUUUCCCUUUUUUAGUCCAAGCCCUAUGGAGGACCACAAGAGUCAUGCAAAAUGUAAUAAAUAACUUCAAUUUUUAAUAACUACCUGGACAAUAAAAAUAGCAAUUAAUAGAUUUGUUUAAAAAUUCAUUAAUUAAUCUAUAAAUAAAUAGACAAAGUUACAAAAAAAAUCAUUAUGUAACAUUUUAUUAGGCAAUAAAAAAUGAGAUUAUAAAAAUAACAUAGAAAUGAAAUAUUAAUCCAUUAAUAAAUAAUUCAAAUUAAUAUAACAAUUUAUAAAAACAACAUAAAAUACGGUCAGGGGAUCUCUGGAUAAUCCGUAAUUCGUUUGUAAUUAUAAAACGAAAAUACCGCUUUUCUGUUUUUUGUUUCAAAACGAAAAACCAAAUAACCGUUAUUUGUGUCAGAAUCAAAAAACGAAAAACCAAUUAAAAACGGCCGGUUUUUCGUUUUUGGCGAUCAGUUUGAUCGUUAUUCCUUUUUGAACAAAGAAUGAACAGAGUCUUUGAACUUCAAUCAAUUCGUUUUUCGUUUAUAACAAGUGGUGCUCGCUGCAGAGCCAAAUGGGCGGAGCUGGAGCUCUAGCGAGGCGGGGCACCCCCGCUGGAUCUAGUGGGCGUGGCAGCAUCAAGUGCGCAGGCGCCGAUAGAGUUUGUUUAAACUAACUGUACAGCCUGUAUCAAGUACUCCGGAGUAUUGCACGGUGCACCAGACAAUACUUUUGCGAGGACAGGAUCUUCUGCUGUCUAUAUCACUGUGCCUACUGUAAAUAACCAUUUACACGAGCUCUGAAAUCAUGCAGUUCAACUAAAAGAUUUUAUCAUCAUCAAGCAUGGUCUCAAGUGCAGACGAUCCCACACUUUCACUGCUGUUACUGGACAUCAACAUUUUAAAAUGUGUAAAAAUCCAGAGGGACAUCCUCCCAUUGGCUGCAGCACCACCUUCAUCCCCAGCAUCAGCAUCCCCACCUUUAUUUCCCCUCGACAUUGGAACAUGUCUGUACUGAUUUUGAGAGUGCCCCUCUACAGCUAGGAGGAAUUGAUUGUGGGGUAUUUAUGUUGAUGUCAAGUCCCACAACUACUCACCCAGGAAGUAACAUAUGCAGAUAACAUGAAAUUCACUUCACCUGAGUCAGAUGUCAUGGAGAUCACCCAGACACCAGAAGUAGAUCACACAGGACUCAGCGGUGAUGAGAAACAUUCAGCUGACCUGUGAGUGGGUAAAGGAGACCACUUGCUGGGAAGAUGAGCUGGAAAAGAUCUAAAGGAUGAUGCCCUGUUGGCUUUGACAACGUUGGAGUUGUUUAUAAACACUGUGUUUUAUGAGGGUGAAAGGAAUGAAGAAGAAAUGUUGACUCCCUUCCCUUUUAUAUUUUAGAGAAGGGCAGGAGAUAUAUAAGACAAAAGAGUUAUUCGUGGGUUUUGUUUACACAAACAAACCAUGUCUUGUGAAUCUACUAGUGGGGAUAGACUAAUUUAAAUAUUGAUUUUUUGAUUGGUUUU